RNAcentral lists this ribosomal RNA (253 nucleotides) under uncultured bacterium. RNAcentral describes it as "partial 16S ribosomal RNA". It matches the Rfam family "Bacterial small subunit ribosomal RNA", at positions 524 to 776 of the family's 1533-position model. The record is from RNAcentral.
UACGUAGGGAGCAAGCGUUGUUCGGAUUUACUGGGCGUAAAGGGCGCGUAGGCGGCGCGGUAAGUCACUUGUGAAAUCUCUGAGCUUAACUCAGAACGGCCAAGUGAUACUGCAGUGCUAGAGUGCAGAAGGGGCAAUCGGAAUUCUUGGUGUAGCGGUGAAAUGCGUAGAUAUCAAGAGGAACACCUGAGGCGAAGGCGGGUUGCUAGGCUGACACUGACGCUGAUGCGCGAAAGUGUGGGGAGCGAACAGG